GGGUGCGAUCAUAGCAGCGUUAAUGCACCGAAACCCAUCAGAACUCCGCAGUUAAGCAUGCUUAGGCUAGAGUAGUACUGGGAUGGGUGACCUCCCGGGAAGUCCUAGUGUUGCACCCU
Picea glauca (white spruce) is the source of this 119-nucleotide non-coding RNA. The record is from Rfam. Lineage: Eukaryota; Viridiplantae; Streptophyta; Pinopsida; Pinales; Pinaceae.